RNAcentral lists this ribosomal RNA (463 nucleotides) under uncultured bacterium. Its description in RNAcentral is "partial 16S ribosomal RNA". It matches the Rfam family "Bacterial small subunit ribosomal RNA", at positions 28 to 507 of the family's 1533-position model. The record is from RNAcentral.
GACGAACGCUGGCGGCGUGCUUAACACAUGCAAGUCGAACGGAAAGGCCUUUUCGGAGGUACUCGAGUGGCGAACGGGUGAGUAACACGUGGGUGAUCUGCCCUGCACUCUGGGAUAAGCCUGGGAAACUGGGUCUAAUACCGGAUAGGACCGCACUUUAGUGUGUGUGGUGGAAAGUUUUUUCGGUGUAGGAUGAGCCCGCGGCCUAUCAGCUUGUUGGUGGGGUAAUGGCCUACCAAGGCGGCGACGGGUAGCCGGACUGAGAGGUUGGUCGGCCACAUUGGGACUGAGAUACGGCCCAGACUCCUACGGGAGGCAGCAGUGGGGAAUAUUGCACAAUGGGCGCAAGCCUGAUGCAGCGACGCCGCGUGGGGGAUGACGGCCUUCGGGUUGUAAACUCCUUUCGCCAGGGACGAAGCGUUUUGUGACGGUACCUGGGGAAGAAGCACCGGCUAACUACGUG